Molecule: unclassified non-coding RNA, 304 nt
Filed under: Hevea brasiliensis (rubber tree)
Lineage: Eukaryota; Viridiplantae; Streptophyta; Magnoliopsida; Malpighiales; Euphorbiaceae
Source: RNAcentral
CCUUUUCUUUUCAGAUCCCUACCAGUUAAUAAUCAUCAUCAUCAUCUCAUUACUCAUCCAUCUCUAAUAAAAGUCUUCUCUCUCUCUCUCUCAGCAUAAUAAUCCAUCACAUAUAAUUCUGUGUUCAAGUUUGCAGUCACUGGCAUAGCUUUUUGGGUUCCUUCUCAAAGCAACAAAAAAAGAAGCCAAUCAUAUCAUAAGAAAUUUCAAAGCAUGGACACUAAAACUACUUUUCCAUUGCAAAACAGAGCCCACUGAUUGAAUCAAGAAGACAAAGAAGUUGCAGAGAUUUGUAGUUAGCAAU